AGACUAAUCUCCCCGUGAAGAAGCGGGGAUAAUUAUAAAGACGAGAAGACCCCAUGGAGCUUUUGCCCACUACACUCCUUUUUAACCCUACUUUUUAACCCCUAGGAUUUUGUAUGUUCUGGUUUUAGGUUGGGGUGACCGCGGAGCAUAAAUUAGCCUCCACAAUGAAUAGACCUUCUCUUUAUCCAAGACUUACAGUUCUCAUAAUUAGCACUCUAACAUACCACGAUCCGAUAUUCGAUCAACGAAUCCAGUGACCCUGGGGAUGACAGCG
RNAcentral lists this ribosomal RNA (274 nucleotides) under Guibemantis liber. Its description in RNAcentral is "partial 16S ribosomal RNA". The record is from RNAcentral. Lineage: Eukaryota; Metazoa; Chordata; Amphibia; Anura; Mantellidae.